RNAcentral lists this ribosomal RNA (406 nucleotides) under uncultured bacterium. RNAcentral describes it as "partial 16S ribosomal RNA". It matches the Rfam family "Bacterial small subunit ribosomal RNA", at positions 30 to 526 of the family's 1533-position model. The record is from RNAcentral.
AUUGAACGCUGGCGGCAGGCCUAACACAUGCAAGUCGAACGAGUGGCGGACGGGCGAGUAAUGUCUGUGAAUCUGCCUGAUGGAGGGGGUUCACUACUGGCAACGGUAGCUCAUACCGCAUACCAUCGUAUGUGCCCAGAUGGGAUUAGAUAGUAGGUGGGGUAAAGGAUCACCUAGGCGUCGAUCACUAGCUGGUCUGAGAGGAUGACCAGCCACACGGGAACUGAGAAACGUUCCAGACUCCAACGGGAGGCAGAAGUGGGGAAUAUGGCACGAUGGGCGAAAGCCUGAUGCAGCAAUGCGGGGAGUAUGAAGAAGGCCUUCGGGUUGUAAAGUACUUUCAGCGGGGAGGCGUUGCCCGCAGAAGAAGCACCGGCUAACUCCGUGCCAGCAGCCGCGGUAAUAC